Long non-coding RNA from Herpailurus yagouaroundi (jaguarundi), 869 nucleotides. RefSeq lists it as uncharacterized. The record is from RefSeq and is a predicted model, not a curated record. The transcript is spliced from 3 exons. NCBI's taxonomy places the organism in Eukaryota, Metazoa, Chordata, Mammalia, Carnivora, Felidae.
UGGUUUGCCUCACCUGUACAAUUCUUCAAGCUAGAUGCUAUAUGCCUGUUUUACAGAUGAGGAAACUGAGGCAUCUACAGAGAGAGGAAGUGCCUUGCCUUGCAGAUGGCAGUGCCAGUGUUCAAACUCAAGCCUGUCUGACUCAAGAUUCAUGUUCUUUCUGUUGUGUCCACAGCCUUGAUUUAAAGAUGUACCUAUGAAACUGUCACCCCAAUCAACAUGACCUUAGAUCUUACCCAAGAGACUUGUCCAGGAUCAUAUAUCAGGGACCACUGAAUGCCACACUUGUCCUUGAACCUCUGCAACCUCCAGCUGUGCCUGCUGACAAUGAAGACCUGCUGCCUUUGUGCUGACUUCCUUGUUCAGCCCUGAAAGUCCCCCCAAAGCUGUGUGACUAUUCUUUCUUUGUGUACCAGCCUUACCCCAAGGACGGGAGUGUCCAGAGGGCAGGGACUUGCUGUCAUUAUGAGCAUCCUCCAGUCUUCCACACUUGUGCCCAACAGGCAUGAGUCAACUGGGCACGUUGAUGCAUCAGUUCAUUUUUCCUACCAGGAAGCAUUCAGGGGUGUUGCAAGAUGCUUAUACCUUUCAGUUUUGUUUGGGACAGUGGCCCCAGCCCCUGAGCCAACCCCAUUAGGUUCUGGUUGUAGGGCUGGCAGAAACUGGUAGGGGCACUGUCUGCCCCCUGGGGAAUUGUGCUGUUAUACAGGACAGUAGGAGUGGUGAAAUCAGGAAGCCCAGGUCAGAAAGCAAUGAAAUGCUGGCCAGAACACAUGGUCCUAAAAGGGAAAAUCAAUCACACAGUGGGCUCAGAAGAUUUCAGAAAGUGGACCUUGAGGGGAACCUGGGUGGCUCAGUUGGUUAAGCGU